This 491-nucleotide ribosomal RNA is filed under the name uncultured bacterium. RNAcentral describes it as "bacterial SSU rRNA". It matches the Rfam family "Bacterial small subunit ribosomal RNA", at positions 28 to 531 of the family's 1533-position model. The record is from RNAcentral.
GACGAACGCUGGCGGCGUGCCUAACACAUGCAAGUCGAACGGAGAUACGAUUUCGGUUGUAUCUUAGUGGCGAACGGGUGAGUAACGCGUGAGCAACCUGACCUUUAGAGGGGGAUAACACUUGGAAACAGGUGCUAAUACCGCAUAAGACCACGACCCGACAUCGGGAUGAGGUCAAAGGAGUAAUCCGCUAGAGGAGGGGCUCGCGUCCCAUUAGAUAGAUGGCGGGGUAACGGCCCACCAUGUCGACGAUGGGUAGCCGAGCUGAGAGGCUGAUCGGCCACACUGGAACUGAGACACGGUCCAGACUCCUACGGGAGGCAGCAGUGGGGAAUAUUGGGCAAUGGGCGCAAGCCUGACCCAGCAACGCCGCGUGAGGGAAGAAGGCCUUCGGGUUGUAAACCUCUGUCCUUGGUGACGAAAAAAUGACGGUAGCCAAGGAGGAAGCCCCGGCUAACUACGUGCCAGCAGCCGCGGUAAGAGUACUCUAU